This 232-nucleotide ribosomal RNA is filed under the name uncultured bacterium. Its description in RNAcentral is "partial 16S ribosomal RNA". It matches the Rfam family "Bacterial small subunit ribosomal RNA", at positions 1258 to 1500 of the family's 1533-position model. The record is from RNAcentral.
CGACACCGCGCGGAACCGAAGCCGUUCUCAGUUCGGAUCGGAGUCUGCAACCCGACUCCGUGAAGCUGGAUUCGCUAGUAAUCGCGCAUCAGCCAUGGCGCGGUGAAUACGUUCCCGGGCCUUGUACACACCGCCCGUCAAGCCAUGGGAGCCGGGGGUGCUUGAAGUGCGUCGCCGCAAGGCGCGCCCUAGAGCAAAACCGGUGACUGGGGCUAAGUCGUAACAAGGUAAC